GGCCAGUCGUCAGUCAGUUGGCCAACAAACUGGUAGCGUCUGGUGUGGCGAGCCAACAAAAGGCUGGCAGAGCGGCCAACACCGGACCCGGCCCGAAACUGAAUCCGGGUCCGGGUCUGGGUCCGUGUCCGUGUCCGGGUUGGUUUCGCAGCAUCUACGGCAUCACGGCUGCCAAUUGAGCGGAGUUUGGGUCUCAAUUUGACGCGUAGCCAGCCAAGAAGAGUGGCCGGCCAACAACAAAAACAGGUGACGCAGGAUGUGGCCAACUGAGUAGGGAGAUGGCGGAAGAGCAGGAGGCGCAGGAGGAGGAGGAGGAGGAGGAGGAGGAGGAAACGCAGCACACUUUUUUGGCCACGGUCCGCGUUUGAUUAGCCAACUCAAACAUCAGGGCCAAGAUCAGGGCAAUUGACAGCUCUGCUCCCUCAGUUUCUGCUUCCGCUUGGCACACAGUCACAGAGACACACAUUGCCUUAUGGCCACUGGACGAUGGACCACAGUGGAGCCUGGGCAGUACGCAACACCUGACGCUGCCCGCCAGGAUACUCCCGUUCGUCUCGAUCAUACAGCAAAUAAGAAACAUUAAAUAAACAAUCAAAGAAACGGAGUAUUGCUCCGCAACUGCCAACAACAUUCAACGACAACCAGUUGCUCUGUGGUGCUAGAAAGUGAGUGUAAACAGUGUGUGCCUUUGUGAACUGAACUGACCAACGUGCCAAGAACGAAGGGACGAGGAGGUGGGCACUCUGGCUCGGACCCAAGCGAUUUGGCAGGAGCUGAUUGUUUCAUCUGGCCAGGCUUAAUGAAAUAACUCGUCCUGGCCGCGGCUCCAUGUCAAACGCAGCAGGGCAAUCGCCAGCGAAGCCCCAAAGGAUAAGCAUCGUCCAGAACAUCGGAAUCUCCAGCGAAGGAUGCACCAAAAACAUUAUCCACAGGACUAAGAUGCCAAAGGAAACUUUCAAGAUCCGUUUCCAAAACAAAACAUAAAAUAUAUUCAAUAAAAAUGAAGUGGAAAUGAAAUGAUACAUAAUAAAUACCCUAAUACAUAACAGAAACAAAAGCAAGUCACUAAACUUGACUGCAAAUAUAAUACGAUGACACUUAAUAGAAACAUUGUAAUAAAAUUGAAAAGAAGUAGACAAGAAUAACCACUCAUAAAACUAAAAUACCCAGCCUAUAACUAUUUUUCAAAUAGUUGGCAUAGUGCUUACUAUGAACCAUAAUCGCAUAUGAUAUAACCAAUAUUGAGCACUUAAUAUAGCCCAAUAUUAUAUAGACCCAAAUAUGAAAUAGUCACAAACAAUAGUGCAAUACAAUACGUUUAUAAAACAACGUCAAAAGUUUUAUAACGAAAAUAUAUUUCUUUAUAAUGAGCACUUUCGAACAACUACAUUUAAUAUAAAAUAGCGCGGGAAGUCUUCGGCGUGGUGAAAGUAUAAGGUGUAAGCACAGCUGAGAAGAAAGGAAUUUACAAAAUCGAAGGAAGAAGUGAAAGAAGGAGUGAAAAAACAUCUAAGCGCGGAAAAGUGCUACAAAAUGAUUUUCACUUACAUAAACCACAUCAAAGCCAUCACUCAAUUGCCACUUUCAGUCAUUUCGACCAUGUCCAAGAAUGAAUAAUGGAUGGGGAAAAUAAAGAGAAGCUGACAUCCUAAAGGAAACCUUGUUGGCCAAUUGGGGAGGAGGCCCAGAAGGUCGGGCCGAUUUUCCGCUGCAACCGACGAAGGUCUGACCAACCAAUCGCAACGCACAGCGGCGACGAAGCCCGGCCGAAUGGGAGCAUCUCGGGCAAACGGAGGGACAGUCAGCCGCCCUGCAAUGCAUUUCUUUUGGCAACGAGUCAAGCGGCCUUUCACACACACACACACACACAUUAGGAUUCCAUAAGGAUACUCUGCCUCGCUCACAUGCGCAUCGAGUGGUAUACGUAAUAUAUCAAGUAUACGCCUGUUGGCCGGGCAGAAAGUCUGUGAGUGUGUGCGAAUGGCCAAACAGAGUGUUGCCAACUGCAUUGCCGGGCUGCCAACGACUCAACCCCCGACCCGAGGACACCACCCUCCUCCCGGCCAGGAGGCCAACGACGAGUCCUUUUUGGAGGCAGCGCAUUGGCUGCAGGACGACCGGCGACAGGACGACCAAUCACCAAUCAAAUCGCGGCUUGUGCGCACUAUCACGGCCGUACGAAGGGCCAAAGGCACGGCAUCCAGGACCUCAGCCGGAGACCCCAAGCCGAUUGUCAAUCUCUUAGACAUAUUAUUAUGCCAACGUCUCCUAUAUUAUAGUUCUCUAGUCGUAAGUCACAUGCCCAAGCCAUCGCCCCAGAACAUCGGGGACAUGAAACAUUAGUUUUAUUGAUAGAGUUCUUAGUUUCGAGCAGAAGCUAUACGAUGAUGAUUUCAAGAAUGAGAAAACGGAAUAAAAACUGUAAAGCUUCAGAGCGGAAC
Molecule: long non-coding RNA, 2441 nt
Filed under: Drosophila melanogaster (fruit fly)
Lineage: Eukaryota; Metazoa; Arthropoda; Insecta; Diptera; Drosophilidae
Description: long non-coding RNA:CR31781 (Dmel_CR31781)
Source: RNAcentral